Long non-coding RNA from Vicia villosa (hairy vetch), 961 nucleotides. RefSeq lists it as uncharacterized. The transcript has 2 exons. NCBI's taxonomy places the organism in Eukaryota, Viridiplantae, Streptophyta, Magnoliopsida, Fabales, Fabaceae. The record is from RefSeq and is a predicted model, not a curated record.
UUCACAUACUUUUUAUUUGAAAUGGGAGGGGGUAGAGCGAUUCUUCUCAAUUUUGUUUUGAAUGAAAUCCUUAUUUUCUUCCUAACUUUCUUGAAGAGGUAUAAUAAGGUUUGGAAAAAGAUUAUUCAGAUUCAUAAGAGAUUAUCAUGGGGUAGUUUGGAUGGUAAAUUUAAGACCCUUUGGUUUAAAUGGGUUGGUGUUGUAAAACCUAAGAAAAAUGAUGGUCUUGUAAUUCGUAAUUUUCACCUAGCUAACCUAGCUCUUCUUGUUAAUUGGUGGUGGGAAUCGCUCUCAGGUGUGAUUAGUCUUUGGAGGGAUAUUUACUCAGCUAGAUAUGGGGAUCGAGUUGUUUCCUCUUUCUUAGAGGAUAUGUCCUAUAAGUUCUAAACUUAUUCUGCUUAAUGGAAAAAGGUGUCUCUCUUGGGAUCCAAGUUCGGAAAUUCGAUUGGUUGAUUUAUGGAAGGCUUAAAUGAAAGGUGGUAAAUCGAACGCCCACCUUUUUUUGGGAUGAUUUGUGGGUGGGUCUUGUCCUUCUUAGAGUUAUAUUUCACAUUUCAUAUCAGAAAAAAGGCAAAAGUUGGUGAGAUUUCCUUUUGGGAUGAUGAGAAUAUGUUUGGAAUAUGAAGUGGAAGAUUCUUUUGUUUGAUUAUGAACAGGAGUUGAUCAAUGAUCUUCUUCUGGCCGUUGAAGGAACUAUUUUUUCCUUGGUUCGCCUAUCAACAUAAAAGACCAUGGAAGAUAAGAAUAUUUCCAUUACAUGGAAAUGGUAUCUGGUGCUUUUAGAGGACAAUGUUUUGUUGAUGAUGGUUCUCGUUUUUGAGUUCUAGCUUGCUACUCAUUAGUGAAGUGACAAUUUGUUUGGAGUUUCAUUGUUUCCUUGUUUCUAAUUGCUUCUCGGUGUUAUUUGUAUUUCCUUUUGUUUUGACUUUUUUAGCAUUCUCUGCAUCUAUUUGUGCUCUUA